CGCGUGGAGGAAGAAGCCCUUAGGGUUGUAAACUCACGUUAAAAAGCCCCGGCUAACUACGUGCCAGCAGCAGCGGUCAUACGUAGGGGGCGAGCGUUAUCCGGUAUUAUUUGGCGUAAAGGGUGCGUAGGCGUUCCUUCAAGUCUUUGGUAAAAUCUUUCGACUCAAUCGAGAAACCGCCAAAAGAUACUGUCGGAAUUGAGAAAUAUAGGGGAAAGCGGAAUUCGUGGUGGAGCAGUGAAAUGCUUUGAUAUCACGAGGAACACCUAAGGGCGAGGCAGCUUUCUGGGUAUUUUCUGACGCUGAGGCACGAAAGCGUGGGUAGCGAAAGGGAUUAGAUACCCCUGUAGUCCACGCCGUAAACGAUGCUCGCUAGGUAUGUGGUCUUCGGAUUGCGUGCCAAAGUUAACGCGUUAAGCGAGCCGCCUGGGGAGUACGAUCGCAAGAUUAAAACUCAAAGGAAUUGACGGGGACCCGCACAAGCGGUGGAGCAUGUGGUUUAAUUCGAUGAUAAUCGAAGAACCUUACCAGGGCUUGACAUGUAACUGCAAAUCCUGCGAAAGCAGGACGUCCUUCGAGGGUGUUACGCAGGUGUUGCAUGGCUGUCGUCAGCUCGAGUCGUGAGAUGUAGGGUUAAGUCCCUUAUCGAGCGCAACCCUUGCCGUAUGUUAGAAAUGUCAUACGGGACUGCCUCGGAUAACGGGGAGGAAGGUGAGGAUGACGUCAAGUCGGUAUUGCCCUUAUGUCCUGGGCGACACACGUGCUACAAUGGCCGGUACAACGGGUUGCUAAGCCGCAAGGCGGAGCUAAUCCUUUAAAACCGGUCUCAGUUCGGAUUGGAGUCUGCAACUCGACUCCAUGAAGUUGGAAUCGCUAGUAAUCGCAGGUCAGCCACACUGCGGUGAAUACGUUCUCGGGUCUUGUACACACCGCCCGUCAACUGGGGAAAGUUGGGGGUACCCGAAGUAUCUUCUUUAGAAGGUCCUAAGGUGAACUCAAUGAUCAACAGUAAGUCGUAACAAGGUAG
This 1027-nucleotide ribosomal RNA is filed under the name uncultured bacterium. RNAcentral describes it as "bacterial SSU rRNA". It matches the Rfam family "Bacterial small subunit ribosomal RNA", at positions 398 to 1499 of the family's 1533-position model. The record is from RNAcentral.